CAAAAUGACUCUCGGCAACGGAUAUCUCGGCUCUCGCAUCGAUGAAGAACGUAGCGAAAUGCGAUACUUGGUGUGAAUUGCAGAAUCCCGUGAACCAUCGAGUCUUUGAACGCAAGUUGCGCCCGAAGCCAUUUGGCCAAGGGCACGUUUGCUUGGGCGUCACGCA
This 166-nucleotide ribosomal RNA is filed under the name Aphyllon multiflorum. RNAcentral's name for it is "5.8S ribosomal RNA". It matches the Rfam family "5.8S ribosomal RNA". Rfam says of the family: 5.8S ribosomal RNA (5.8S rRNA) is a component of the large subunit of the eukaryotic ribosome. It is transcribed by RNA polymerase I as part of the 45S precursor that also contains 18S and 28S rRNA. The record is from RNAcentral. Lineage: Eukaryota; Viridiplantae; Streptophyta; Magnoliopsida; Lamiales; Orobanchaceae.